AUACGUAGGGUGCAAGCGUUAAUCGGAUUUACUGGGCGUAAAGCGCGCGUAGGUGGCUAAUUAAGUCAAAUGUGAAAUCCCCGAGCUUAACUUGGGAAUUGCAUUCGAUACUGGUUAGCUAGAGUAUGGGAGAGGAUGGUAGAAUUCCAGGUGUAGCGGUGAAAUGCGUAGAGAUCUGGAGGAAUACCGAUGGCGAAGGCAGCCAUCUGGCCUAAUACGGACACUGAGGUGCGAAAGCAUGGGGAGCAAACAGGAUUAGAUACCCUGGUAGUCCAUGCCGUAAACGAUGUCUACUAGCCGUUGGGGCCCUUGAGGCUUUAGUGGCGCAGCUAACGCGAUAAGUAGACCGCCUGGGGAGUACGGUCGCAAGACUAAAACUCAAAUGAAUUGGCGGGG
This 396-nucleotide ribosomal RNA is filed under the name uncultured bacterium. Its description in RNAcentral is "partial 16S ribosomal RNA". It matches the Rfam family "Bacterial small subunit ribosomal RNA", at positions 523 to 918 of the family's 1533-position model. The record is from RNAcentral.